This 199-nucleotide ribosomal RNA is filed under the name uncultured bacterium. Its description in RNAcentral is "partial 16S ribosomal RNA". It matches the Rfam family "Bacterial small subunit ribosomal RNA", at positions 328 to 539 of the family's 1533-position model. The record is from RNAcentral.
ACGCUCGACACCUACGGGAGGCGGCAGUGGGGAAUAUUGCACAAUGGGGGAAACCCGUGAUGCAGCGACGCCGCGUGGAGGAAGAAGGUCUUCGGAUUGUAAACUCCUGUUGUUGGGGAAAAAGAGGAUGGUACCCAACAAGGAAGUGACGGCUAACUACGUGCCAGCAGCCGCGGUAAUCUGAGCGGGCUGGCAAGGC